CCAAUAGCGUAUAUUAAAGUUGUUGCAGUUAAAAAGCUCGUAGUUGAAUUUCGGAAUCUGUCCGUUGGUCGGGCUUUAUUGUGCGUGCUGAUGUGAUGGGUUCUUACCUUCUGAAUAACCAGCAUGUCAUUAAUUUGGUGUGUUGGGGAAGCAGGACUAUUACCUUGAAAAAAUUAGAGUGCUCAAAGCAGGCUAGUGCCUAAAUACAUUAGCAUGGAAUAAUAAAAUAGGACGGCAUGGUUCUAUUUUGUUGGUUUCUAGGAUCACCGUAAUGAUUAAUAGGGAUAGUUGGGGGCACUAGUAUUCAAUUGUCAGAGGUGAAAUUCUUGGAUUUAUUGAAGACUAACUUCUGCGAAAGCAUUUGCCAAGGAUGUUUUCAUUAAUCAAGAACGAAAGUUAGGGGAUCGAAGACGAUCAGAUACCGUCGUAGUCUUAACCAUAAACUAUGCCGACUAGGGAUCGGACGAUGUUAAUUUUUUAAUGACUCGUUCGGCGCCUUACG
RNAcentral lists this ribosomal RNA (502 nucleotides) under uncultured Glomeromycotina. RNAcentral's name for it is "partial small subunit ribosomal RNA". It matches the Rfam family "Eukaryotic small subunit ribosomal RNA", at positions 591 to 1092 of the family's 1831-position model. Lineage: Eukaryota; Fungi; Glomeromycota. The record is from RNAcentral.